CUUGGUGAUGAUAGCUGAGGGUGAACCACCUGAUUCCAUUCCGAACUCAGAAGUGAAAACCUCGUAGCGCUGAUUGUACUGCAUUAUUUUUAUGUGGGAGAGUAAGUAAUCGCCAAGC
This 118-nucleotide ribosomal RNA is filed under the name Rickettsiales bacterium. Lineage: Bacteria; Pseudomonadati; Pseudomonadota; Alphaproteobacteria; Rickettsiales. The record is from RNAcentral.